Molecule: ribosomal RNA, 157 nt
Filed under: Coprinopsis phlyctidospora
Lineage: Eukaryota; Fungi; Basidiomycota; Agaricomycetes; Agaricales; Psathyrellaceae
Description: 5.8S rRNA
Rfam family: 5.8S ribosomal RNA
About the family: 5.8S ribosomal RNA (5.8S rRNA) is a component of the large subunit of the eukaryotic ribosome. It is transcribed by RNA polymerase I as part of the 45S precursor that also contains 18S and 28S rRNA.
Source: RNAcentral
ACAACUUUCAGCAACGGAUCUCUUGGCUCUCGCAUCGAUGAAGAACGCAGCGAAAUGCGAUAAGUAAUGUGAAUUGCAGAAUUCAGUGAAUCAUCGAAUCUUUGAACGCACCUUGCGCUCCUUGGUAUUCCGAGGAGCAUGCCUGUUUGAGUGUAUU